RNAcentral lists this transfer RNA (71 nucleotides) under Ovis aries (sheep). It matches the Rfam family "tRNA". Rfam says of the family: Transfer RNA (tRNA) molecules are approximately 80 nucleotides in length. Their secondary structure includes four short double-helical elements and three loops (D, anti-codon, and T loops). Further hydrogen bonds mediate the characteristic L-shaped molecular structure. tRNAs have two regions of fundamental functional importance: the anti-codon, which is responsible for specific mRNA codon recognition, and the 3' end, to which the tRNAs corresponding amino acid is attached (by aminoacyl-tRNA synthetases). tRNAs cope with the degeneracy of the genetic code in two manners: having more than one tRNA (with a specific anti-codon) for a particular amino acid; and 'wobble' base-pairing, i.e. permitting non-standard base-pairing at the 3rd anti-codon position. The record is from Rfam by way of RNAcentral. Lineage: Eukaryota; Metazoa; Chordata; Mammalia; Artiodactyla; Bovidae.
UCCCCGCUGGCUCAGUGGUAAAGUAUCUGCCUGCAAUGCAGGAGACUCAGGUUCAGUCCCUGGGUCAGGAA